UACGAAGGGGGCUAGCGUUGUUCGGAAUUACUGGGCGUAAAGGGCGCGUAGGCGGUCUUGUAAGUCAGAUGUGAAAGCCCCGGGCUCAACCCGGGAAUAGCAUUUGAUACUGCGAGGCUUGAGUCCGGGAGAGGAUGGCGGAAUUCCCAGUGUAGAGGUGAAAUUCGUAGAUAUUGGGAGGAACACCGGUGGCGAAGGCGGCCAUCUGGACCGGUACUGACGCUGAAGUGCGAAAGCGUGGGGAGCAAACAGG
Molecule: ribosomal RNA, 253 nt
Filed under: uncultured bacterium
Lineage: Bacteria
Description: partial 16S ribosomal RNA
Rfam family: Bacterial small subunit ribosomal RNA
Source: RNAcentral